This 85-nucleotide transfer RNA is filed under the name Spirochaetota bacterium. Its description in RNAcentral is "Spirochaetes bacterium (freshwater metagenome) tRNA-Ser". It matches the Rfam family "tRNA". Rfam says of the family: Transfer RNA (tRNA) molecules are approximately 80 nucleotides in length. The record is from RNAcentral. Lineage: Bacteria; Pseudomonadati; Spirochaetota.
GGAGAGAUGCCCGAGUGGCCGAAGGGAGCGGUUUGCUAAAUCGUGGAACUGAAAGGUUCCGAGGGUUCGAAUCCCUCUCUCUCCG